This 137-nucleotide small nucleolar RNA is filed under the name Ornithorhynchus anatinus (platypus). The record is from RNAcentral. Lineage: Eukaryota; Metazoa; Chordata; Mammalia; Monotremata; Ornithorhynchidae.
ACCCUCUCAGGAUCACACCUGGAGAGUUUCCAUACUCUACCAGUCUCGGCUAUGGGAGGGAGAGUCAAGCAGAGGCAAACUCAUUCCAUUCUUAGCUUGGGCAGUGGCUAGUGAGUGGAAGGCAAUCUGCUACAAAU